UUGUGGGUGGAAGUCGCGUCACGGUAAAAGCCAGAGCCAUGCCUGCCUGUUGGCAGACAGGUAGCAUGGAUGGCAGGGGGUGAUGGAAACGUUACCUUCUGAAGCCCAUCGACAAGGUCUGCAAUAAAGCAGGCAAGCAACUAUCCGGGUUGUAACGAAC
This is a non-coding RNA of Candidatus Brocadia, 160 nucleotides long. The record is from Rfam. Lineage: Bacteria; Pseudomonadati; Planctomycetota; Candidatus Brocadiia; Candidatus Brocadiales; Candidatus Brocadiaceae.